UACGUAGGGUGCGAGCGUUAAUCGGAAUUACUGGGCGUAAAGCGUGCGCAGGCGGUUUUGUAAGCCAGAUGUGAAAUCCCUCGGCUCAACCGGGGAACUGCGUCUGAGACUGGAAGGCUUGAAUUCGGGAGAGGGAUGUGGAAUUCCAGGUGUAGCGGUGAAAUGCGUAGAUAUCUGGAGGAACACCGGUGGCGAAGGCGGCAUCCUGGACCGAUAUUGACGCUGAUGCGCGAAAGCCAGGGGAGCAAACGGG
RNAcentral lists this ribosomal RNA (253 nucleotides) under uncultured bacterium. RNAcentral describes it as "partial 16S ribosomal RNA". It matches the Rfam family "Bacterial small subunit ribosomal RNA", at positions 524 to 776 of the family's 1533-position model. The record is from RNAcentral.